This 923-nucleotide long non-coding RNA is filed under the name Salmo salar (Atlantic salmon). RNAcentral's name for it is "lncRNA (ENSSSAG00000120417.1)". The record is from RNAcentral. Lineage: Eukaryota; Metazoa; Chordata; Actinopteri; Salmoniformes; Salmonidae.
CAAAUCAAAUCAAUUGUAUUUAUAUAGCCCUUCUUACAUCAGCUGAUAUCUCAAAGUGCUGUACAGAAACCCAGCCUAAAACCCCAAACAGCAAGCAAUGCAGGUGUAGAAGCACGGUGGCUAGGAAAAACUCCCUAGAAAGGCCAAAACCUAGGAAGAAACCUAGAGAGGAACCAGGCUAUGAGGGGUGGCCAGUCCUCUUCUGGCUGUGCCGGGUGGAGAUUAUAACAGCACAUGGCCAAGAUGUUCAAAUGUUCAUAAAUGACCAGCAUGGUCAAAUAAUAAUAAUCAUAAUAGUUGUCGAGGGUGCAACAAGUCAGUAACACAAGAGUAAGUGUCAGUUGGCUUUUUCAUAGCCGAUCUUUGAGAGUAUCUCUACCGCUCCUGCUGUCUCUAGAGAGUUGAAAACAGCAGGUCUGGGACAGGUAGCACGUCCGGUGAACAGGUCAGGGUUCCAUAGCUGCAGGCAGAACAGUUGGAACUGGAGCAGCAGCACGGCCAGGUGAACUGGGGACAGCAAGGAGUCAUCAAGCCAGGUAGUCCUGAGGCAUGGUCCUAGGGCUCAGGUCCUCCGAGAGAGAGAAAGAAAGAGAGAAAGAGAGAAUUAGAGAGAGCAUAUUUAAAUUCACACAGGACACCGGAAAAGACAAGAGAAAUACUCCAGAUGUGACAGACUGACCCUAGCCCCCCGACACAUAAACUACUGCAGCAUAAAUACUGGAGGCUGAGACAGGAGGGGUCAGGAGACACUGCGGCCCCAUCCGAUGAAACCCCCGGACAGGGCCAAACAGCCUGUAGUAACCCUCCAAGCUAGCUGUCGUUCCUCCAUCUCUUCAACCGAAAGGUAAUGUUAUUCUCUCCUUUUCUCUGGGGAUUUAUCUUCCCUUAGUGCUUUAACUCUCACACUAUUUUCAUGCUUUUGG